This is a long non-coding RNA of Balaenoptera ricei (Rice's whale), 392 nucleotides long. RefSeq lists it as uncharacterized. The transcript has 3 exons. Lineage: Eukaryota; Metazoa; Chordata; Mammalia; Artiodactyla; Balaenopteridae. The record is from RefSeq and is a predicted model, not a curated record.
CGCCGCCGACCGCUGCGCCCCCGCGGCGUUCUCCGGCCCCGGAGUCGAGGCUGCUGAAAUUCCACACGACCAGCGUCUGCAGCAGCAGCACGAUCCUAAUUUUAAGAGAAGAAAGUGAAGGAAUAAAGAGGAUCCAUCAGAGGAGGCAAGGAAGAGAUUGUUUCAUCCACUCAACGACAGUCUGUGGAUAUCAAGCUCUGUCAGACACUGGGCGAGGUGCAGGAAUCCAAAGGAGACCAGCAACAUCCCAGAGGCUGCUCCAGAGACUAAACUUUGACCCCGGAAUUGAAGACAACUUGACACAGAGUCCGAUCUGACCUGUGAUGAGAGCUGACAUGAAACAUGAGCAAGAAAUAAACCUCUGCUGCUCUGAGGCGCUGAGAUUUAGGGCU